This 75-nucleotide transfer RNA is filed under the name Tistrella bauzanensis. Its description in RNAcentral is "tRNA-Glu". It matches the Rfam family "tRNA". From Rfam's summary of the family: Transfer RNA (tRNA) molecules are approximately 80 nucleotides in length. Their secondary structure includes four short double-helical elements and three loops (D, anti-codon, and T loops). Further hydrogen bonds mediate the characteristic L-shaped molecular structure. tRNAs have two regions of fundamental functional importance: the anti-codon, which is responsible for specific mRNA codon recognition, and the 3' end, to which the tRNAs corresponding amino acid is attached (by aminoacyl-tRNA synthetases). tRNAs cope with the degeneracy of the genetic code in two manners: having more than one tRNA (with a specific anti-codon) for a particular amino acid; and 'wobble' base-pairing, i.e. permitting non-standard base-pairing at the 3rd anti-codon position. Lineage: Bacteria; Pseudomonadati; Pseudomonadota; Alphaproteobacteria; Geminicoccales; Geminicoccaceae. The record is from RNAcentral. RNAcentral also lists the same sequence under 1 other name.
GCCCCUAUCGUCUAGAGGUUAGGACACCGCUCUUUCAAGGCGGAGACACGGGUUCAAUUCCCGUUGGGGGUACCA